Molecule: ribosomal RNA, 118 nt
Filed under: Gossypium hirsutum (cotton)
Lineage: Eukaryota; Viridiplantae; Streptophyta; Magnoliopsida; Malvales; Malvaceae
Source: RNAcentral
GGGUACGAUCAUAGCAGCACUAAUGCACCGGAUCCCAUCAGAACUUCGCAGUUAAGCGUGCUUGGGCGAGAGUAGUACUAGGUUGGGUGACCUUCUGGAUGUCCUGGUGUUGCACCCC